This 395-nucleotide ribosomal RNA is filed under the name uncultured bacterium. RNAcentral's name for it is "bacterial SSU rRNA". It matches the Rfam family "Bacterial small subunit ribosomal RNA", at positions 29 to 431 of the family's 1533-position model. The record is from RNAcentral.
AGCGAACGUUUGCGGCGGGCCUAACACAUGCAAGUCGAACGCACUAGCAAUAGUGAGUGGCGCACGGGUGCGUAACACGUGGGUAAUCAACCCUUCAGCCUGGGAUAACGACUCGAAAGGGUCGCUAAUACCGGAUACGGCGCGAGAGGCUUCGGCUUCUCACGAGAAAGCCACGCAAGGGGCACUGAAGGACGAGCCUGCGGCCCAUCAGCUAGUUGGUGAGGUAAGAGCUCACCAAGGCUAAGACGGGUAGCUGGUCUGAGAGGAUGAUCAGCCACACUGGAACUGAGACACGGUCCAGACUCCUACGGGAGGCAGCAGUGGGGAAUAUUGCGCAAUGGGCGAAAGCCUGACGCAGCCACGCCGCGUGAGCGAUGAAGGCCUCGGUCGUAAGC